RNAcentral lists this transfer RNA (69 nucleotides) under Anser albifrons (White-fronted goose). Its description in RNAcentral is "tRNA-Ala". It matches the Rfam family "tRNA". From Rfam's summary of the family: Transfer RNA (tRNA) molecules are approximately 80 nucleotides in length. Their secondary structure includes four short double-helical elements and three loops (D, anti-codon, and T loops). Further hydrogen bonds mediate the characteristic L-shaped molecular structure. tRNAs have two regions of fundamental functional importance: the anti-codon, which is responsible for specific mRNA codon recognition, and the 3' end, to which the tRNAs corresponding amino acid is attached (by aminoacyl-tRNA synthetases). tRNAs cope with the degeneracy of the genetic code in two manners: having more than one tRNA (with a specific anti-codon) for a particular amino acid; and 'wobble' base-pairing, i.e. permitting non-standard base-pairing at the 3rd anti-codon position. The record is from RNAcentral. RNAcentral also lists the same sequence under 1 other name. Lineage: Eukaryota; Metazoa; Chordata; Aves; Anseriformes; Anatidae.
GAGGCUUUAGCUUAAUUAAAGCGUCUGACUUGCAUUCAGAAGAUACAGGUUAAUGUUCUGUAAGUCUUA